UUCGAGACGAGGACGUGGAUAGGCUGGGUGUGUAAGCGUUGCGAGACGUUGAGCUAACCAGUACUAAUGAACCGUGCGGCUUAACCUG
Molecule: ribosomal RNA, 88 nt
Filed under: Xenorhabdus yunnanensis
Lineage: Bacteria; Pseudomonadati; Pseudomonadota; Gammaproteobacteria; Enterobacterales; Morganellaceae
Description: partial 23S ribosomal RNA
Rfam family: Bacterial large subunit ribosomal RNA
Source: RNAcentral